RNAcentral lists this ribosomal RNA (260 nucleotides) under uncultured bacterium. RNAcentral describes it as "partial 16S ribosomal RNA". It matches the Rfam family "Bacterial small subunit ribosomal RNA", at positions 524 to 777 of the family's 1533-position model. The record is from RNAcentral.
CACGUAGGGUGCGAGCGUUGUCCGGAAUUAUUGGGCGUAAAGAGCUCGUAGGCGGUGUGUCGCGUCGGCCGUGAAAACCCACGGCUCAACUGUGGGCUUGCAUUCGAUAACGGGCAGGCUAGAGUUCGGUAGGGGAGACGUGGAAUUCCUGGUGUAGCGGUGAAAUGACGGCAGACUAUCAGGAGGAACACCGGUGGCGAAGGCGGGUCUCUGGGCCGAUACUGACGCUGGAGGAGCGAAAGCGUGGGGAGCGAACAGGA